AUGCUAACUGCCGUUAGGGUGACCUCCGAACGGCGAAGCAGCAGGAGGAAGCCGGUGUGAAUCCGGCGCGGUCCCGCCACUGUGACCGGGGAGCACCCCGGGAGUCAGGAACUCCGCUCGCCGUCCCCUACGAC
RNAcentral lists this non-coding RNA (134 nucleotides) under Saccharothrix sp. Lineage: Bacteria; Bacillati; Actinomycetota; Actinomycetes; Pseudonocardiales; Pseudonocardiaceae. The record is from RNAcentral.